CCUCGUUAAUUAGUUUUUUCAGUCGUGUGAGAUUUCCCAUUUUUUAGCCAGUUUGUUGUUAAGCCAACAGAGGAAGCCGCGCUUUUGCUGCUUCCUGCUUCCUACAUGACCAAUAGGAGACCGCGAUGCUGUGACCUCUCACCUGUAGGUCAUAAUCAAGUUGGAGUAAUGGCUUCCUCUGUGAACACGACAAGCCUCGAGCGAUCUACCGGCAUGCGAACCCGGGCAAAAAGGGGGAAUAAUAACGUGGACAAGAUGGAUGUUCGUGUUACCAGUGGUGUGACUGUUGCCCCACCUGCACAGCUGGCAGACAGAAGAAAAUCACAAGAGUUGGAGAUCUGUAAGAUGAGGCUAGAGUGGCAAAAGGAUAAGACUGAUGAGCUCACCAAAGAAAGAGACUAUCUAAAGGAGCAAUUAGCAGCAUCUCUCUCAAAGGAACCCACAAGUUCUGUCCAGGAUUCCAGUGAGGUAUUGAGCAUAUCUUCACCGUCCUCUGAUGGGUCUUUUGAUGAGAGUUCUAACUCCUCCAUGAGCACAACUUCAUCAGAUGAAGACAGGAAGAAGAAGAAGAAGAAGGCAAAAGCAAAAA
Oreochromis aureus is the source of this 589-nucleotide long non-coding RNA. NCBI's taxonomy places the organism in Eukaryota, Metazoa, Chordata, Actinopteri, Cichliformes, Cichlidae. The record is from Ensembl.